CCGCCCAUAGCUCAAUUGGUAGAGCAGCGCUCUUAUACAGCGAAGGUUUCUUGGUUCAAAUCCAAGUGGGCGGACAA
Molecule: transfer RNA, 77 nt
Filed under: Candidatus Campbellbacteria bacterium CG22_combo_CG10-13_8_21_14_all_36_13
Lineage: Bacteria; Candidatus Campbelliibacteriota
Description: tRNA-Ile
Rfam family: tRNA
About the family: Transfer RNA (tRNA) molecules are approximately 80 nucleotides in length. Their secondary structure includes four short double-helical elements and three loops (D, anti-codon, and T loops).
Source: RNAcentral